RNAcentral lists this long non-coding RNA (6849 nucleotides) under Homo sapiens (human). Its description in RNAcentral is "HSALNT0116973". Lineage: Eukaryota; Metazoa; Chordata; Mammalia; Primates; Hominidae. The record is from RNAcentral.
CCACUGAGUCCAGACACGCCCUGGCGGCACCGGGGCCCUGCUUGGCUCAGACACGCCCUGGCGGCACCCAGGCCCUGCUUGGCUCCCCUGGACGGAGCCAGAAGACCUCCUCUUUGUCAGGAAGUCUGCAGGUUUCAGAGACUAAUUCUCUGCUGGGCAUGUGUCCAGAAGAGGUGUAAGGAGUGACAGAUUGAUGGAAAGGCACGGCACCUUGGCUGGACAGGCUCGUCCUGUUUCUGGGCGGGCGGGGCGCACGCCUUCCGUGUUUGGUGGAGAAGCAGCCUGUGGUGAGGAGCGAGGAGCCAGAAGGACGGCUUGGGAGUGCCCUGGGGGACCUGAAUUGCUGUGAGUGUUGACAGCUCAGGAAAACUUACUCUUCUGUCAGAAGAAAUACGUCUUUUAGGAAUUGGCCUGAGUUAGAAUCUCAGAUGCUAAGAAAUCGACCGACUUUUCAGGAAAAAGGUGUGUUUUCAGCCUUGCUGUGAGUGGCUGUGAGAAGGGUCUGAUUUGUCGCUGAUACAGGUUCCUAAAGGGAGUGCCACUGCCCCAGCUGACAGCUCGCUGCAGGUGAACCCCAGCUUGCUUCCUAAUGUUCUGUGCUCAGGAGGGGAAGCUCCCAGUGGCUCAAGUGACCCUGGUGCUGUGUGCCUGCAAAGUUCUCCGCAAGCGGGGCAGGACCAACUUGCCACCCCAGACACAGGAUAAAAAUUGCAGCAGAGCAAGACUCAAGCUGGAUCACGUGGUGUGGUGACUUCUUUACUUCGCACCCCUUUUCAACCUUAACAUACUGAAGGGGAAGCGCUGUGGAGAAAACCGGAUGAUGGGUGGAGACCAGGAAGGGUACAGGGAGCCCACCUGUGGAGACGGGAGGACCACGUGCGGAUUCUGUGCCUGACGUGAACGUGCUUGCCAGGUGUCCUGCGUGGUCUCCGGCCACCACAAGGAGAGCCUCCCUCUGCACUUGCCUUCACCCUGGCUGCCUGUUAGAGAGCUACAGGGCAACUAUGAAAAGUCACUCGUGCCAGCCCUCCCCAUCCCUCCCCACAUGGUGUAGCCAGCCUCUCCAUGGUUGGUCUACGUGCAGCUCUGCAGGUGACCGAAUGUGCUUGCCCGGAGAACCUGCCCCUGCAGAGCCCCUCAGUUGGAGACCUGGUGCUUUUCAAGGCCAGACACCUGAUCCUAUAUCCAGCACACCCUGGUGAACACCAGAAACCCGGGGCACAGGAAGGGACCCUUGUUUGCCUGUGGAAAGUGUUAACAGGAACUUGAUGCAUUUAGACCACGUGUUAACUUUGGGCGUCACUGACGGAUGUCUGAGAACUUGAGGUGGGGAGAUGGCGAUUUAGCUUCUCAGGCUGGCCUGGGUAAUUAAACUACCGAUGUUAUUUAUGAGUUUUGGUCUUAAAGUGUUGUGCAAGCACCAGAGGCUUCCUAGCAAAGAGAGUGCGAUUUUCUUAAUCACAUAAAAUCUCAAGGUCCUGGCAGCUGCUCUUCAGAGGGUGUUUCCCGCUGUUGCAGCUUAAUCUGGUAGCGAAGCUGUUGAUUGAGUUCCCGUGAGUAACAAGAAACAGCAGAGAUUUGUGCAUUUCUACGUACGGCAAGUCCUGGCCCCAACAGCUUAGUGCUACACCUACCAGUUGUGGGAAAAUUUACAUUUCCAGGAAACUGCAUACAACUGGGUAGAGCGCUGGUCCUUCAGGGAGAGAAGUGUUCCAGUUAAAUAUGGCCAUCUUCUUCCUCCGUCUCCAAGAAUACAAACACAUUAUUUUAAGAACCAAAAUGGCUGAGCCCACAAUUGUAGCAUGAACAGCCCUAGGCAUUAAACAACAGGUUAAGUAGCUCUUGCUGUCUAUGAGCCCAGCUCUGACACUGCCUGGGUGAGGGCCUAGCCCCCAGUGCCUGAGUUUCUGCAUCUGUGAGCCCAGCUCUGGCACUGCCUGGCUGUGGGGUGCUAGGCCCUCAGUGCCUCAGUUUCCAUAUCUGUACACUGGGUCUCCAAAUGGUGUUGACCAUCAUGGAGUGGUUGUAAGGAGUUAAUGACUCAUAUGCAUGAAGUUCUUAGAACAGGCCUUCCCCUUUGCCAGCACUCAAUAAAUGUCAGUUAUUAUUAGCAAUAUUAGGGUCAGGCUACAAUAGUAAAGGGUAGUGUUUUGUCCCUGAGAGGAUUGGAAUCUAGAUGGAAUGAGAAAUAAUAACAGCAGCCAUCAUUUGAAUUUUCCCUGUAUACCGGGCAGCAGACUAGCACGUUGAGUAAAUAUCUCAAGUAAAGGGUACAAAUCCAGGUGGAAACAGAGAAGGAGCCUGUGACAGAAACUGUGCAGCCAGGAGAGGCCGGAUCUACAUGCUCAGAACACAGGGUUGUCGGCGAAGCUUCCCCGAGAGCCCACUUGGACCUGUUGUGGGAAGAGACGGCAGAGCUAAGACAAGCAGGUCUGGACUCAGGGAGACCAGGGUUCAAAUUCGGGCUCCAACGGUAACAUAUUUUUCCCUGAGUUUGGAAACGCCCCAGGCUGCACUUUCCUCACCUGUGAGAUGAAUGUGCAAAAGCAUCCACUUCUGGAAACGCCGAGAAGAUCAAGCGUGUGAGCACCGCAGCGGACCCAGGACGGUACCUGGCAGGGGCGGCCCCAGGCAGGUGUGAGAACCUCAGCGGGCCCAGGACGGUGCCCAGCAGGGGCAGCCCCAGGCAGGUGUGAGAACCUCAGCGGGCCCAGGACGGUGCUCAGCAGGGGUGGCCCCAGGCAGGUGUGAGAACCUCAGCGGGCCCAGGACCGUGCUCAGCAGGGGUGGCCCCAGGCAGGUGUGAGAACCUCAGCGGGUGCAGGAUGGUGCCUGGCAGGGGCGGCCCCAGGCAGGAGUGAGAACCUCAGCGGGCCCAGGAAGGUGCUCAGCAGGGGCGACCCCAGGCAGGAGUGAGAACCUCAGCGGGCCCAGGACGGUGCCUGGCAGGGGCGGCCCCAGGCAGGAGUGAGAACCUCAGCGGGCCCAGGACGGUGCUCAGCAGGGGCGGCCCCAGGCAGGUGUGAGAACCUCAGCGGGCCCAGGACGGUGCUCAGCAGGGGCGGCCCCAGGCAGGUGUGAGAACCUCAGCGGGCCCAGGAUGGUGCUCAGCAGGGGCGGCCCCAGGCAGGUGUGGGAACCUCAGCGGGCCCAGGACGGUGCUCAGCAGGGGCGGCCCCAGGCAGGUGUGAGAACGUCAGCGGGCCCAGGACGGUGCCCAGCAGGGGCGGCCCCAGGCAGGUGUGAGAACCUCAGCGGGUGCAGGAUGGUGCCUGGCAGGGGCGGCCCCAGGCAGGAGUGAGAACCUCAGUGGGCCCAGGAAGGUGCUCAGCAGGGGCGACCCCAGGCAGGAGUGAGAACCUCAGCGGGCCCAGGACGGUGCCUGGCAGGGGCGGCCCCAGGCAGGAGUGAGAACCUCAACGGGCCCAGGACGGUGCUCAGCAGGGGCGGCCCCAGGCAGGUGUGAGAACGUCAGCGGGCCCAGGACGGUGCCCGGCAGGGGUGGCCCCAGGCAGGUGUGAGAACCUCAGCUGGCCCAGGACCGUGCUCAGCAGGGGUGGCCCCAGGCAGGUGUGAGAACCUCAGCGGGCGCAGGACGGUGCCCGGCAGGGGCGGCCCCAGGCAGGAGUGAGAACCUCAGCGGCCCAGGACGGUGCCCGGCAGGGGCGGCCCCAGGCAGGUGUGAGAACCUCAGCGGGUGCAGGAUGGUGCCUGGCAGGGGCGGCCCCAGGCAGGAGUGAAAACCUCAGUGGGCCCAGGAAGGUGCUCAGCAGGGGCGACCCCAGGCAGGAGUGAGAACCUCAGCAGGCCCAGGACGGUGCCUGGCAGGGGCGGCCCCAGGCAGGAGUGAGAACCUCAACGGGCCCAGGACGGUGCUCAGCAGGGGCGGCCCCAGGCAGGUGUGAGAACGUCAGCGGGCCCAGGACGGUGCCCAGCAGGGGCGGCCCCAGGCAGGUGUGGGAACCUCAGCGGGCCCAGGACGGUGCCCAGCAGGGGCGGCCCCAGGCAGGUGUGAGAACCUCAGCGGGCCCAGGACGGUGCCCAGCAGGGGCGGCCCCAGGCAGGUGUGGGAACCUCAGCGGGCCCAGGACGGUGCCCAGCAGGGGCGGCCCCAGGCAGGUGUGAGAACCUCAGCGGGCCCAGGACCGUGCUCAGCAGGGGUGGCCCCAGGCAGGUGUGAGAACCUCAGCGGGCGCAGGACGGUGCCCGGCAGGGGCGGCCCCAGGCAGGAGUGAGAACCUCAGCGGCCCAGGACGGUGCCCGGCAGGGGCGGCCCCAGGCAGGUGUGAGAACCUCAGCGGGUGCAGGAUGGUGCCUGGCAGGGGCGGCCCCAGGCAGGAGUGAGAACCUCAGUGGGCCCAGGAAGGUGCUCAGCAGGGGCGACCCCAGGCAGGAGUGAGAACCUCAGCGGGCCCAGGACGGUGCCUGGCAGGGGCGGCCCCAGGCAGGAGUGAGAACCUCAACGGGCCCAGGACGGUGCUCAGCAGGGGCGGCCCCAGGCAGGUGUGAGAACGUCAGCGGGCCCAGGACGGUGCUCAGCAGGGGCGGCCCCAGGCAGGUGUGGGAACCUCAGCGGGCCCAGGACGGUGCCCAGCAGGGGCGGCCCCAGGCAGGUGUGAGAACCUCAGCGGGCCCAGGACGGUGCCCAGCAGGGGCGGCCCCAGGCAGGUGUGGGAACCUCAGCGGGCCCAGGACGGUGCCCAGCAGGGGCGGCCCCAGGCAGGUGUGAGAACCUCAGCGGGCCCAGGACGGUGCUCAGCAGGGGUGGCCCCAGGCAGGUGUGAGAACCUCAGCGGGCCCAGGACCGUGCUCAGCAGGGGUGGCCCCAGGCAGGUGUGAGAACCUCAGCGGGCGCAGGACGGUGCCCGGCAGGGGCGGCCCCAGGCAGGAGUGAGAACCUCAGCGGCCCAGGACGGUGCCCGGCAGGGGCGGCCCCAGGCAGGUGUGAGAACCUCAGCGGGCCCAGGACGGUGCUCAGCAGGGGCAGCCCUCAGUGGAUGUGAGCACCCCAUGCUCCGGUGCUUCCUCCUGCCAGUCCUCUUGCUCCUUGUCUCAGCUGCGUCUGUCCUCCCGCAGGACGCUCCUGUCAGACACCAAUCUGAAUGUUUAAUUAUCAUCAUUACUAUUAAAUGGUUUUGUUCUCCUAGCUAACAAAUACCACUUUACUGGUGCAGCAGGGUUCUUGCUUGCACUAUUGAUUAUCUAACACACAGAAUCAUUUGCAUGCAGAGGUGGAAGAGACAUCUUUGAGCAGCUGGCGGAACCGGCACGUUUGAGAGCUGAGCAUUUGGGAAGCUUUUGCGAUCUCUUAAAUCAAGUGUAGCCUAAAGCUACACUGUCUGCAUAUUUUAAAUUCAACCUACAGGUUCUCUGUAGAGGUGUAAACGGACCAUAGCCUACUCUUGCACCAAUCACCGAGUUUUGGCCAGUCAAAGGUGGCCAACUGUUCAAACCAUGCUCAAACACCACAAGUGCCGAGAUGUAACCAAUUGGCUGUUUCUGCACCUCACUUCCGUCUUCUGUGCGUCUCUUUCCUUUUUCUGUCCUAAAUAUUCUUCCACCACGUGGCUGUGCUGGAGUCUCUCUGAACCUGUUCUGGCUCGGGAGGCUGCCUGAUUCAUGAACCCUUCGUUGCUCAAUUAAACUCUGUUAAACUUAAUUCUGCUAGAAUUUUUCUUUCAACAGGGGCAUUGAUGAGCAGUUCGCAUCAGGGAUGUGUUUGGCUCACACUGGCUGGUAACGAGGACCCUUUCCCCUUCACGUGUGGGUGGGAGGAAACCGCAGGUCUUCGUACGCUGCUCAUUGUAAGGGCCUGGAAUUUCAGGGAUGACGAUACCACCUAUUAUGUGGAUGGCGUUAUUUUUUUGUUCACAAGGAGAAUCUUCAACUAAUUGUGUGUAAUUUCACAGCUACGCUGACGAAGCACGUCAGCACAAGCAAACACAGUCACUGCUGUCCUCCCAGGGUCCCGUAAUUACUUUAAUAUGUGUGCACAAUCGCAGCCUGAGAGGACUGUGGGAGGUGCGAUCCCAUAUUUAGAAAUGGGGAAUCACUAACAACUGUGGGAAACUCUCGAGGACGUCAGAAUUUUGGAGAGAGAGGUAAGAAAACAAAAUGAUGUUUUAAUCCUGUUUAAAAUCAGUAUGCACGUCACAGCUGAACACAGAAAAGGUGAUAACAUGAAGACUGAAGGGACCCACGAUGAGGAUACAUGAGGAAUGAAGUUCGUUUUUCUAUUUCUGAACAAGAAAGUUGAAGGGCUAUUUUCUAGAACGAAAGAGAGCUGAACGCAGGGAUUUCAACUUUUUGGGAAAUAUAAUUGAUUAAUUUUUUAAAAACUACACUUAUUUUUCAAAUAAUCACAAACCUACAGAAGAGGUGGUAGCACAGUGUGAAGAACUAGAUGAUGUUCUGCUGUUCAAGAGCCUUUUCAUUUCCAGAUACAUUUCAGGAUCAGCUUGUCGAUUGCUACCAAAAAAAAAAAAAAUACCGUAAGCGAUUUUGAUUGAAAUUGCCUUUUGAAAAAUAAUUACAAAAUUGUAAGACCGAUACUACCUAAUUUCAAGAUGUAUUGUAAAUGCAUGAUAAUAUUUAGAUUACCAUAAUAAAUAAGAUUUAUUGUAAACCUGUGGUAUACAACAUAUUAUAUACAACAGUGUAUCACUGGCAUAAAGGUAGACAAAUCAACAAGACAGAUUAGAGAGUCUGGAAAUGGAUCCACACAUAUGUGGACAUUUGACUUUCAGAAAGUGUUUAGAGACAAUUCAGUGGAAAAAGGAUAAUCUUUUCAACCAAUGGUGCUGAAACUGUUGUAUACCUAUGUGUUCCAAACGAACAAGCAAACAAAAC